RNAcentral lists this ribosomal RNA (253 nucleotides) under uncultured bacterium. Its description in RNAcentral is "partial 16S ribosomal RNA". It matches the Rfam family "Bacterial small subunit ribosomal RNA", at positions 524 to 776 of the family's 1533-position model. The record is from RNAcentral.
UACGUAGGUGACAAGCGUUGUCCGGAUUUAUUGGGCGUAAAGGGAGCGCAGGCGGUUGGAAUAGUCUGAUGUGAAAGCCCACGGCUUAACCGUGGAAGGUCAUUGGAAACUGUCCAACUUGAAUACAGGAGAGGUAAGUGGAAUUCCAAGUGUAGCGGUGAAAUGCGUAGAUAUUUGGAGGAACACCAGUGGCGAAGGCGACUUACUGGUCUGUAAUUGACGCUGAGGCUCGAAAGCGUGGGUAGCAAACAGG